CGGCCCGGGAGCAGACGGGGAGGUGAGCCUGGAGCUGGGAGUCUGACCCCAGUCUGACUCUGGGCUGGCCUCACUUCAGCUUUCCUGGUGAAAUUUCACAUCACUAAAGGCAGAGAUUAAAAAGUGAAGGGUGGAGAAGCAAAGUGAUUU
Molecule: long non-coding RNA, 150 nt
Organism: Cervus elaphus (red deer)
Lineage: Eukaryota; Metazoa; Chordata; Mammalia; Artiodactyla; Cervidae
Exons: 3
Source: RefSeq, a predicted model, not a curated record